GGAUGCGAUCAUACCAGCACUAAAGCAACGGAUCCCAUCAGAACUCCGAAGUUAAGUGUGCGUGGGCGAGAGUAGUACUAGGAUGGGUGACCUCUUGGGAAGUCCUCAUGUUGCAUUCC
RNAcentral lists this ribosomal RNA (119 nucleotides) under Triticum turgidum subsp. durum (durum wheat). RNAcentral also lists the same sequence under 1 other name. The record is from RNAcentral. Lineage: Eukaryota; Viridiplantae; Streptophyta; Magnoliopsida; Poales; Poaceae.